Long non-coding RNA from Raphanus sativus (radish), 1113 nucleotides. RefSeq lists it as uncharacterized. The record is from RefSeq and is a predicted model, not a curated record. The transcript is spliced from 5 exons. NCBI's taxonomy places the organism in Eukaryota, Viridiplantae, Streptophyta, Magnoliopsida, Brassicales, Brassicaceae.
UAAUCUAUCCGAAAACUCUUAUAUACUAUGGCUAAAAUCAGGUAAAAUCUACGGAUCACUAUCUGAGAUUUGUUUAUUUUUUCCAAUUAUUUUUUGAGAACAGAUCGUGUUCGAGAGAGAGAGAGAGAGAGAGAUGAUUGGGUAAGCUGUGCUCAACGCCCUAGCAAACCCCGGCCUCCUUCUCUUCCUCUUCCUCGUAGGCCUCGAGAUUGAUCUGAAACCUCUCCGCCGCACCAGCCAAAAAGUGAUUUCCAUCGCAACCGCCAGAAUGCUCCUUCCUUCCGCGAUGGGCGUCGGAGUGGGCUUUCCAGAUGCUUCUCAAGGAGAUGUCCGGUUCGAAUCAAACCAACAACGCAAAAUUGCGAGUUUUUGUCCUUCAAUUCUGUUUUUGAAGGAACCCACACAAAAGAAGGCCGUUGCUUCUACCCAACGGGAGUGUUGCAAAGAAAUCAAAAAAUGAAUCAUCUUCCCAGGAGGAAUCUUCUGAUGAGAAAGAAGUUGCUGUUACAAACCUGCACCUAAGGCUAAAGAAGAUACCAAGAGUGCUAAAAAGGAUAGUAGUAGCGAUGAAUCCCGCUCCGAUGAGGAAGAAACCCCAAAGAAAAAGAGCUCUGAUGUUGAAAUGGUGGAUGCUGAGAUGAAACAGCCGGAAAACUUGCUUCUUGAUGCUCAAGGAAAUCUGAAAGUCUGGUUUUGGAUUCAGUGCCUUAUCCCAACAAGUCAUGGCCAGAACAAAAGCUUGUGAAGGAUAGUUUCAUCAUCAGGAAACCAACCAAGAUCCACUCUCCUGAAGAAAUACUGAGAGUUAAAGAAGAUUGACAAGUACAUAUACCAUGUAUCGAGCAUACAAGGCGACGGAGAAACUCUGAUGUAUGUAGCAGACGAGUCGAUAGAAGUCAAUUCCUGUGACUAGGUGAUGCGACGACAACACUCUCAAGGCGGAUGCUCUGGAGGCUGGAGGCCUAGUUUUUUUUUUUUUGGUCAAAAGGCUUAGUUUAAGUUUUGGUUAAUUAUGUUUUGGCUAAUUAUGUUUUGGUUUAAUGUUUUAAUUUGUUUGGUUUAAUGUGUUAUACUGAAUUUAAUCAAUAAAUAAAAUUUUAUUUUAAAAUUAAA